RNAcentral lists this ribosomal RNA (493 nucleotides) under uncultured bacterium. Its description in RNAcentral is "SSU rRNA". It matches the Rfam family "Bacterial small subunit ribosomal RNA", at positions 26 to 518 of the family's 1533-position model. The record is from RNAcentral.
AGGAUGAACGCUGGCGGCGUGCUUAACACAUGCAAGUCGAACGAUGAUCCGGCGCUUGCGUCGGGGAUUAGUGGCGAACGGGUGAGUAACACGUGAGUAACCUGCCCUUAACUCUGGGAUAAGCCUGGGAAACUGGGUCUAAUACCGGAUAUUGACGCCCUUGCCGCAUGGUGGGGUGUUGAAAGCUUUUGUGGUUUUGGAUGGACUCGCGGCCUAUCAGCUUGUUGGUGGGGUAAUGGCCUACCAAGGCGACGACGGGUAGCCGGCCUGAGAGGGUGACCGGCCACACUGGGACUGAGACACGGCCCAGACUCCUACGGGAGGCAGCAGUGGGGAAUAUUGCACAAUGGGCGCAAGCCUGAUGCAGCGACGCCGCGUGAGGGAUGACGGCCUUCGGGUUGUAAACCGUCUUUCAGUAGGGAACAAGGCCGCACGUUGUGUGGUUGAGGGUACCUGCAGAAGAAGCGCCGGCUAACUACGUGCCAGCAGCCGC